Molecule: long non-coding RNA, 354 nt
Filed under: Nicotiana benthamiana
Lineage: Eukaryota; Viridiplantae; Streptophyta; Magnoliopsida; Solanales; Solanaceae
Description: long non-coding RNA (NBEN_LNC040273)
Source: RNAcentral
AGGCACUUACCAACACAUGGGAUCGGUUGCGCUGAUGCUACACUUCUCUGCCUUUUUGUGCACAUAUCAGGGAACAGCUUACGAACCACCGUAACAGUAGAGUUGGGAGCUGAUCUUCAGUCGAGAGACUUCGAGGUAGCCUUGCCUGCGUCCGUGGACUCGGAGUUCCUCUUAUGUUUAUUUCAGUUUUUUCUACUUUGUAUCGAGACAAACAUUUUAUAUAUUUCUUUCAGACUUUUGUUGUAGUAACUCAUAGUAGUCCGUGAGCAGUGACACUAGAUAUUAGGUAGAAACAUAUGUUGAGUUUUGGUAUUUUUUUUUCUGGUUUCAGAUAUUUAUGCACUUAAAAGUCUU